RNA transcript from Serinus canaria (Common canary), 3481 nucleotides. It is a transcript of the gene named poly(rC) binding protein 3, with no coding region annotated. The transcript is spliced from 18 exons. The record is from RefSeq and is a predicted model, not a curated record. Lineage: Eukaryota; Metazoa; Chordata; Aves; Passeriformes; Fringillidae.
GGGGCAGGGGCAGGAAGUCGCGGGGGCGGGCAGAGUCGGGAGGGUGGCGGGCUGGGCUGAGCGCUCCCGCUCGGCUCCUGCUGCCACCGCCCCUGAGUCAGCCCUGCCGCUCCCCCGCCCUGUCCCAGCCGUCCCUCGGUCCGUCCGUCCGGACACAGGGAAGGAGCCACCCAUCCAGCUGCAGCACCACCCUUCCAACACUGCCAGAUGUGCCUCCAGGUUGUUCUGUGCCUGCAGCCCACUCCAGAGAUCCUUCCCUGCCUCCUGCACUGCUGACCACCAACUCUACAGGAUCCCCGACCUGGCCCUGCGUGUCCUCCAAUGGCUCGUGCUGUGGACUGCUGGGUUCCCCCCCACGCUCAGCAUGCCCUUUUCUGGACCUUCCCAGGUAUCACUCUGGAGCUCAAGGCCAUCCUGUAGGGUAAGGUGAUCCCGCCAAGGUGCUGCCUGUGCCGGGCUGCUCUCCCAGCUAGCGCACGUCUCUCGUCCCUGGUAGGAAAUGGAGUCCAAGGUCUCCGAAGGCGGCCUCAACGUCACCCUCACCAUCCGGCUGCUGAUGCACGGCAAGGAAGUGGGAAGCAUCAUUGGGAAGAAAGGAGAGACCGUGAAGAAGAUGCGUGAGGAGAGUGGGGCAAGGAUCAACAUCUCAGAGGGGAACUGCCCUGAGCGGAUUGUGACCAUCACUGGCCCCACUGAUGCCAUCUUCAAGGCUUUUGCCAUGAUCGCCUACAAAUUUGAGGAGGACAUAACCAACUCCAUGAGCAACAGCACCGCUACCAGCAAACCUCCAGUGACACUGCGGCUGGUGGUGCCAGCGAGUCAGUGCGGCUCCCUCAUCGGCAAGGGGGGUUCCAAGAUCAAGGAAAUCCGAGAGUCCACAGGUGCUCAGGUCCAAGUGGCUGGGGACAUGCUGCCCAACUCCACGGAGCGGGCAGUGACAAUCUCGGGGACACCCGAUGCAAUUAUCCAGUGUGUCAAACAGAUCUGUGUGGUGAUGCUGGAGGUACAGUCUGUAACAAAGAGGUCCCCACCAAAAGGUGCCACCAUUCCCUACCGCCCAAAGCCCGCCUCCACCCCUGUCAUUUUUGCAGGUGGUCAGGCCUAUACAAUUCAGGGACAAUACGCUAUUCCACACCCAGAUCAGUUGACCAAGCUCCACCAGUUGGCUAUGCAGCAAACCCCCUUUACUCCCCUUGGACAGACCACCCCCGCUUUCCCUGGAGAAAAGCUGCCCUUACAUUCCUCCGAAGAAGCUCAAAAUCUGAUGGGCCAGUCAUCAGGUUUGGAUGCCAGUCCCCCGGCCAGUACUCAUGAACUCACCAUUCCCAAUGAUCUAAUAGGCUGCAUAAUCGGACGCCAAGGGACCAAAAUCAAUGAAAUUCGGCAGAUGUCGGGAGCGCAGAUCAAAAUCGCAAACGCCACAGAAGGGUCAUCGGAGCGCCAAAUUACCAUCACAGGAACCCCUGCAAACAUCAGCCUUGCGCAGUACCUCAUCAACGCCAGGCUGACGUCUGAGGUCACUGGAAUGGGUGCACUCUAAUUUCCACCCACCAUCCUCCACUCCGCACCACCCGACCCUCUCCAGCCACCGGCACUCCACCCAGCCUGUACUGCCUGUACAUUUACUGUCUUCCCUUUGCCUCCACAGAUACUCUUUUCUUUACUAACGUAUAUAUAUAUAUAUAUAUAUAAACACACGGGUGCAUAUGCACACACUGGAACAUUUCUUUACAAGCUCUUUAAUCUGUGCUCCCGAAGCUUCUCCGAAACUCUUUGGUUAUGGUCCUUGUUUUCAGCGUUAGGGUGUUAAUUCUUCAUCUGCUUCAUCUGCUUUUUGGGGACAAGGGAGGGGGGAGGGGGGACAUUGUUUUUUUUCUCUCACUGGCAAGACUUCAGGAGCUGGCGGGGUCUCUAGUGUCAGUCUAGAAUAGCUACCUGUCGUUGGAGCUGAUGUUGGCUGUACUUUCUGUAGCAUAUGGACAUAAUGAUGCCACCCAGAGCUGUGCAUGUUUCAGACAACUUAAUUUUUCUCACCCUCCUUCCUUUGGUGCUCCCCCUUGCUUGUCCUGGCUCACCUUUGCUGCCUCAUGCUACCGCCCUCAGGGUAAGGGCAUAUUUUCACCCUGUGUUAUUUGGGAAGCAGAAGCCAAGUAUGGGUUCAGCCUGCAGGCUUCUCUCUUGAAACAUGGCAUGGUCCAGUCAAGCCCAUUUUCCUACUAAACUAAGGGAAUCACACACACACACAGAUAUAUACAAAUGCUCUGGGUUUUUUAACUAAUAAGCACCUAGAAGUGGGAAGAACUCAGCUGUAUGGGAUUCAUACCCCCAGGGGCCUUUGAAAGCACUCUUUUGGCAAUACUCCACAAGCAAAACCUCAGGAAGCUCUGUGAGCCAGCUGUGUUUGUCAUUGUUUGUGUUCAAUAAAUGUCUGUGCAGCUCUGGUACUGAUGGGCUCUGAUUGUUCUUCUCCUGGGUCACCCCAACAAUGCCAGCCCCAGCCUUCCCUCUGCAUCCUUCCACACCUUUUUAGCCACUUGGAGGGAAGGUGGGGGUUGUAUGCAAGAGUUCUCCAUUUUUUUUUAUUAUUAUCAUUAUUAUUACUAUUAUUACUAUUAUUACUAUUUCUCAUCAGCAUAAUAAUUUUUUUUUGUUUUUAUUUUUUUAGAGAAAUGACCAAUGCACUUCCUGAGUGAUUCCAUGCUUUCUGUUUUUCAUUUUUAUUUUCCAAAGGGAGAGUAUUUGGCUUGCAUAAUCCUUUGGUUUUUUCCUAAGAUUAAUUUAUAAGUUAUGGUGUGACAGCCAUCAUCUCUCACUGCCCCCUUGUCUGGACGGAUCUGCCAUGUGUGUCUCCCACACCCUUCCCCAAGACCCUCUCUGCCCAGCCCUGCCUUCUGCUUCCAGGCUUUUCUUCUCUCUCCUGCCUCUCCAGCACGGAAGUGUACAUUUUUCAUCUGUUAAUUCCUGACUGUCCCUUUUCCCGGAUUGCACAUGAGGGGACCAUGAUGCACCGUGUCCCCAGACAGCUGAAGCAGCCACACAGUACAUUUUUGCACUGUACCACAUGGGAAAUGCAUUGUUUUUCGAGCUCUGCAGACCCUGACCCCCACGGGAGGAACACCUUCACCGCCUGACCUGGUGCCAAUGGCUGAUGCUUGACCCCCCUCUGAGGAUGCUGCCGGCUUCCUGCGAGCUUCUCCCGCUCCUUCGUGGCACCCUUGGGGCCACUGCCCGAACCCCCCACCCACGGCUCUCCAGACCCUGCUCCCUCGGCCUGGGCACAGGGCAGCAGUGGGCUCGGGGGGCUGGGGCAGCAGGUCUCAGGAGGACAGCAGCUUGCAGCCAGAGUGCAGCGGUACCCACUGCGAGCCAGUGCUUCCCACCGCCCUUAUCUGUGCUUCCUCAUCGCCCCUCACGCCCCUGAUGCUUUGCGAUGUAUUUUGUGGCUUAUCCGUGUCAUUGCAAUAAAGCUUUUGUUGCUUGA